Non-coding RNA from Podarcis lilfordi (Lilford's wall lizard), 6260 nucleotides. The record is from the annotation of a GenBank genome assembly. Lineage: Eukaryota; Metazoa; Chordata; Lepidosauria; Squamata; Lacertidae.
GUAAACCAAUUUUAAACUUGCCAAACGUGUGGUGUUUUCUUCGCUCCACAUGUGCUUGUGACAUGCGGAGAGAGGUUUUCACUGCCUUUCUGCUUCUCCUACUUUCUGCCAAAGCUGAAAGGUAAGGGAGAGAAAUUACUACAGGAUGGAACUUUAUCAAAAGCUAAUUUUCUAGUAGAUUUAAAUAAUACCUUUUUUAGGAGUCUCCCUUAAAUGGUUUGCCUAAUUUCACUACACACAAAGAGGGCAGGUAAUUUUUAGUGCAACCGUGGAUCCAACCGAGGGCUUGGCUCAUACCUCAUUGCUUCGUUCCACCAUAAUGAACAAACUACAAUGUAGCUUCAGUAAACAUUAACGGAGCUUAAAUUUCUCACAAGAAUUUUUUUUUCUGAUAAUUUUCUAUUUAAACUGUUGGAUAUAUCUGCCUCGCCCCCCACCAGAAUAAUAUUUGGCAGAAUUCAUUCAUAUCCACAUUCUGCCACCAGCAAAUUGGUUCGCCAAUCUGGGGGGUCAUUUUCACUCAGCUCUAGAAACUAUUCCUUAAUUCGCCUAAGUACUUCAUUAACUGCAGAGAGCAUAGUGAAAAGGAGACAUCUUCUUUGCACCGACGGAGGAAGAGGAGUGUGGGGGGAGCACACUGCCCCUGGCAGCACAAUACCAGCAGGGUGCCAUCGUGGCUGCCCCCUGCCCACGCUGGGUGCUACACCCCCACUGGUGGCGCGCCACACCCCCAGGAUAUGCGCCACACCCCUGUGGGUGGUGCGCCCCGCCCCAAGACAUGCGCCAGCCCCGCCCCACCUGCUCUCCACACACCCCCGGUGCCAGAGCAUGAAGCUCCACCACUGCUUCUUUGUCCCAAUUUUGCCUUUCUGGUUGUCACAGAAGACUGAAGAGAGGGUUCUGUGCCCCUCUGCUAAGGGAUUGAAAAGCAAAAGCAUGGAUUUCUAUAACUCUGGUUUUGUUGUUAAUGAGGACAAGACCCUCUAUGCUUCCCACAAAAUAGAGGCGAGAUCUUCAAAUGGGUGAAUGCAUGCCUGAGUAUCUCACCAAUGUUCAUGAAUUUUGUGUACAAAAUACUAAACAAAAUUGUUUGUUUCUGCUGUAAUAUAGUAAUUUAAAUUGCCAGGUGCGUUCAGAUAUUUCUCAGGAUUUUUUUUUUUCUUGUGGGGGAAAAAAAAACCUUAGAAGUGCUACAUCUCACCCUUAGCAAUUCUGAGUUGUUGGGAAGUACAGUAAUUGCAAUUGGCAAUUUAGCAAAGAUAAUUUGGAUGAUUUAAUGAGUUCAUUAAGUUGUUUCUUUGGCCCUGGUGAAAACUUAAUGGAGGUAACUCACAUUCCAGUUAGAGUUCCCUAAGGGAGGGGGAGAUAAUUUAGAAAAUUGAAAAAGAGUGAUUGAGCUUUGCAAAGACAGCUGAUGAACAACCUCUGCUGUAAAUCAUCAUAAAUGAUGAAGAUAAAUGGAAACUACUUUUAAUUUUCUUCUGAGAGAUAGAAAGUGUCAUCAAAUCCACUCAAAACACUGGUGAGUCUGUUGACUUCGGUGAGAUAAGUGGUUUAGUCACAAUGCUACAGACAUUUUAUUCAAAGCAUAUAUACAUAUAACCUGAAUUGUCAGAUAAGAAUUCCAAUGCUCAUCAUUCUUUAUUUAAAAAUAACAAUGCCUCUCAAUAUAGGAAUUUAACAAGUAGUUGUGAAAUUCAAUUUUAUACUUAGAUUGCUAGUCCCCUUCCAUAGUUAUUCACAGUAGUCAACACAACACACCGGGUAAGCAGCACAGAUGGGCCACUUAGCUCUGUGGAAGGUUGUGGGAAAUUAUGCACAACUUUGCUUUACAAGCAGAGAUGGUAGAGAAUUCUGGCAUAUUUGGAACUGGUACCAGAAAUCAUUUCAGUUUGCAUGUUCAUUCUCAACCUGGAAGGGAAAUCAGGCAAGCAAAUAUGACUGGUAUUUACUGUCAUUUUUUAAGUCUGCAAAUGUUUCCUGUUUUCCUCAUGCUUCCUUCCAUUGAAAUGAAUGGCGCAGCAUCAUUUAAUGGUUACAUAAUUAAUUACAUAAUUAAUUACAUUUUGUUUGGCGUCAGCAGACAGCAAGGCAAGCAACAUUUUUUAAAAUGGAAUUCCAAACUCUAGUGAACAUGGAAACAGCACUGUGCAUGACAAAUACAAGGUAGACAGGAAAAUCAUGCUGUCUUAUAUCCUUAUACUUGCAAGCAGCAAUUAUUUAUUGGUGGACUGAGUUCAGUCAAAAGAUGUGCAGGUAGGGAUAAAUGCUUAGUUUUAAAGAAUAGCCUUGAAGAGGUUAGUUUCUCACAAAUGGCACCUCUGUGGUUAUGGACUUCCAUUUUGCACUGUGUGCAGUAUUUUCUACUAUGCAUGUGGUUGCAUAGUACAACCCCAAACAAUUUUUUAUUAUUGAAAAAUAAACCAUUUGCAACAUAGCUGGAAACAAGAUAUGCAAGGGGACCAAAGGCGAUUUAUCUGCUAUGCUCUAAUCCACUCAUGCGGAACGUCUGGCGCAAAAACCUAAUCAGGUCAACAAGGCUUCAGAAGUUGGCCAGGCAGCCCAUUUUAGCUGAACCAUAUCCACCUCUCCUGGGCCUGUUUGUCACAUAUGAAUUUAGUUAUAGCACACACCCGAUUCCUUUCUUUGAGGAGUCACCUGCUGUCAUCAUGAUGCCCAUGACUGACGGGUAGGUGUGGCCUCAUCCAACUGUCAAAGUGACCCACAGUGGGUGGAGGAACUCUGAAUCCAGUCCUCUUCCCCACCCCUGUCCUAAGACAUGCCGAGUUCACACUGAAAUGAGUUCUUUCCAUUGCACUAUUUAUUAAAGCAUUGUUUUUAAAAGAGAAAAAGAUUUAGGCCGGGGCUGGGUAUAAAUAUGUAUUGAAAUGUGAAAUUUCAUGCAGAUUUGUGCCUGUGUGUUUAAUGGCAGAUUGAAAUAGAAAUGUGCCGGGGAAACAGACUUAUGGGUGAACACAUGUGAAAGUGACAUUGACUGGAAAUAGUGUGAUUUACUUGUCUCCAGUAAGUGCAUAAAUAUGUUCUCAAUUCAUUGUGCAGGAACCUUCUCUGAUAUAUAACUUUUUCCUGUACUUUCAGGAACAGCUGCUGAAACUAAUAUAUUGUCACUGUGAUUAUAUAUAUAUAUAUAUAUAUGGAUCCCACUACAUUGUGUCAUAAUAACAAUGAGUCCUAAUAACUGUCUUCAGGGGCAAUUUCAUCAUGAUGUGGAACAUGGGUAGGCAAACUAAGGCCCAGGGGCUGGAUCCGGCCCAAUAGCCUUCUCAAUCUGUCCCAUGGAUAGUCUGGGAAUUAGCGUGUUUUUACAUGAGUGGAAUGUGUCAUUUUACUUUAAAUGCAUCUCUGGGUUAUUUGUGGGGCCUGCCUGAUGUUUUUACAUGAGUAGAAUGUGUGCUUUUAUUUAAAAUGCAUCUCUGGGUUAUUUGUGGGGCAUAGGAAUUUGUUCAUUUCCCCCCUCAAAAUAUAGUCCGGCCUCCCGCAAGGUCUGAGAGACUGUGGACCAGCCCCCUGCUGAAAAAGUUUGCUGACCCCUGAUGUAGAACAUGGUAGCAAUAGUCACUGAGAGACUAUUGCAAACACUCCACCUCUCUUCUAUCUGCUGCACAGCUCAAGCCACAUUUAUAGAGUUGUCUAAGUACCAUAGCUUUGUCCUAACAUACCUUAGAGGGCUCCUUGUCAUUGGCACCAGAUCAAAACCUCCACAGGUUUAGAAUGAGGAAAAUGUGCAAUGAUUAAUGUUGCAUUGCCCAAUUAAUCUGCGAAGCAACUGUCAUUUUUGUAAAAUCAUAUUUCAUAGUAGCAAAGAGGCUGAGGGAAGGCCAAUAAUCAAUGGCAAUUUUUUUCUUACUUUUCUUACAUUUAAAGUUUUUCUUAUAUUUAUGCAUAAUAAACUGUAAAGUGCUGCAAUAUUGAGUAGGUCUGGUUGAAAGCAAUCUUGACAAGAUGGAGGCAAUAGUGGAUGGUUCAUUAGUGCAGUGAGGCAAAUCAAUCAGCACACAUAAAGAGCAAUAAAAAUUAAUAAUAAUAAUAAAAAUAAUCAGCACCCACCUCAGCAGCCCAAACCUGAUUCUGGGUUAUGUAAAUUGUUGGGUUUGACAAGUAUUACUGUGCAAUGAGAAGUAACUUGCCAUUCAGUUGCCAAUGUGAAACAUUUCUACAACAAAAGACCAUCCCUUAGUUGGGACGAUCUAGAGCAAAAUCUGCAAAAUACCUCUCGGAAAGUCAUCAUUUUUAUCCAUUGCUAUACCAUAAAGAGGAGAGAAUGAGACAGAGAGAGAUGGAGAGAGAGAGAGAGAGAGAGAGAGAGAGAGAGAGAGAGAGGUGAAACUAAAUAGCUUGGAAAGCAGCAAUUUAAAUUCCAUUCGUGCUCCAGAUUGCAACCUGCUUUGUGUUCCUAGGUAGGGGUGUAUCCUGGCCUUUGUUGCUAUGGGAGGAAAGAGAUGAGGAACAACAUCAUGUAAUCAGUAAUGCCAGGCAGUUUUGAAUCAUCAGAUACAAUUUGCUGCAUGGUUUAUCUGAAUCAAAUCAAUGGUAUUUUGAGACUGAUGAUAAUUACUUCUGGUAUGAUUCCCUUGUACAGCAAUGAGCAGCCCAAUCCUGUCUUAUCCAUGAGCUCAGUAGGCCUUACUUCCAAGUAAGUGUAAAUGAUUGCAGCUGUAGUGUCCUAAGUAAUCAGCUUAUUUGAUUUAUACCUAUACUCUUACAAACUUAAACAGCUUGUUUGAUUAGUCAUUUAAUAUAAAGUGAUUUAUCGCAUAACUAUAGCUACAGUGCUAUGAAUUCCUCUGCCAACAAAAAUUAUAUUUUUACAAGUGAGUCCACUUACUAAGCAGAUCUUUUUUCAGGCUGCAAUACAUUAUGCAAAUUAGGAAAGACAUUGCACGUAAAAACAAAUCACAUAAGUCUAAACGUAUAAGUCUAUAUCAUACAGGGAAUAUAGUGGAUGCAAUCCCACUAAUAUUUACUGAUUGACUACUUAUGUUACAAAUUUUUGAGCAAAGUGGAACACUAAGUUUGAACGCUAUUUCAUUUUCAAUAAUAUUUGUACACUAACAGAGCAAACUAAUAUGUAUAUACUCAGAAGUAGGAACCUACAAAUUUUAUCAAUUUAAGCUUCUCUCAGAUUCUCAUGUGGAAUCUACAAAUCUUAUCAAUUUAAGCUUCUCUCAGUUUCUCAUGUCUCUAUUUUUAAGUUCACCACAUUUUGGCAUCAAUCUGUGGUUCUUUUUAAGUCCUCAUGAAAUUUUGUCAGUAUUUUUGUAUGCAUUUCUCAUAACAUAUGCAAUUUCGCCUAAUAUGCAUGAUUUGCAUGUGCUUUCCCCCAAUAAAAUACAUUUUUGUAUGUUAUUUUAGUUCAUAUAAGCAUGUUUAUGCACACUUUCUCCUAAUAUAAACAUUUUACGGUUGGAUAAAUUUAAAAGAAGUGUGAAUUUUGAUGGAUUUCAGGGUUGAUACAUUGUUUCAGGGAGUGCAGAUUCUGAACAAGAUUUCUCCCUCACUGAGUUCUAUCUCUGGGUAAUCAUGUAUAGAACGGCAACAUUAGACACCCCCCCCCAAAAAAGUUUGCAUUUGAUCAUGCGUAUUCUGAUUAGUGAUUUCAAAUAGAUACAUCUCCUAGCCCAUUUCCCUGGCCAAUCACCAUUUCCUGUUUGUAAAAGUUCAGUUGCAUAUUGUUCUUCUGAGCAGAGCUAUAUUUAAUAUUUCAGUUUGGUUUUAGUCUAGUUAGUUAAAAAGAGUCUAGUUAGUUAAAAAAUGGAGGACAUGUUUUUGAAAAGCCGGGACUAACCAACAUGUUUUUGUCAAGUACAAAUUGUAUCAAAUGGCCCUUAGCUGUAGAAGCCAAAAAAGAAAAAGAAAAUGAGAUAUAAGUUUGGAUCCAGAAUUUAUUGAGUGUAAAAUGUGGAUGUUCCUGUGUAUAACAAGACAAGAAUCUAGUUCCAUCCUUCAUUUCUGUGUGGACUGUCAGAGCUUUCUGAACCCUAAAAUGCUUUCCAGUACCCAUGGAAAACUGAUCAUCCAGGUUACAUUGACAGUGUUUCUCAAUGGUGCAGAAAGCUGUUCAAUAUGCAUGCAAACCUCCUGCAAAAAUCCUCCAGUGGAAGCCAGCCAAUUGUGACAGGUUGUAGUGUACAAGAUUUGAGGAAUAAUAAUAAUUUUUUUAAAGCCAGAUCAAUAGGUUAUCCAUCAAGAAUGUGUCCAAGGAAUGUUUCAGCUCAUCCCAGAGAGAUUUGUGUUUCUUU